RNAcentral lists this ribosomal RNA (460 nucleotides) under uncultured bacterium. Its description in RNAcentral is "partial 16S ribosomal RNA". It matches the Rfam family "Bacterial small subunit ribosomal RNA", at positions 338 to 795 of the family's 1533-position model. The record is from RNAcentral.
UCUACGGGAGGCAGCAGUGAGGAAUAUUGGUCAAUGGACGAGAGUCUGAACCAGCCAAGUAGCGUGAAGGAUGACUGCCCUAUGGGUUGUAAACUUCUUUUAUAUGGGAAUAAAACAGGGUAUGCAUACCCUCUUGUAUGUACCAUAUGAAUAAGGAUCGGCUAACUCCGUGCCAGCAGCCGCGGUAAUACGGAGGAUCCGAGCGUUAUCCGGAUUUAUUGGGUUUAAAGGGAGCGUAGGUGGAUUGUUAAGUCAGUUGUGAAAGUUUGCGGCUCAACCGUAAAAUUGCAGUUGAAACUGGCAGUCUUGAGUACAGUAGAGGUGGGCGGAAUUCGUGGUGUAGCGGUGAAAUGCUUAGAUAUCACGAAGAACUCCGAUUGCGAAGGCAGUUCACUGGACUGCAACUGACACUGAUGCUCGAAAGUGUGGGUAUCAAACAGGAUUAGAUACCCUUGUAGUC